GUCGGUCGUCACCUCCCGCUCACUGAUGAUCGCCCCCUGCAAGACCCUGUCUAAGCAGAUGGGGAUGCCUGCGAUCGCUCCUCCGGCGGGACCAGACGAGACAAGGGUCCGCUCCCCCGAGCCCGUCGCCAAUCUGGACGCCGCGCUGCGGGAUGAUCCCAUCAAUCAGGAGCGUCCCCCUUCUCCGCCUCCCGUGAGUGCGGGCCUCGGAUAGACAAGGGACGGCUCUCCCGAUCUCUCGGCCGGGCGGGAGGCUUCCCCUGCGGCUGGAAACUUGGACGCAGAGUGCGCCGCGCCCCCGCCUCCCAAUGAUGUUAUCGAACUCGACUCGCCCGAGGACCGGGAUGCCGAGGCGUUCGCAGAGACCCUGACCUCUGACGUCGACGUCGCGCUUCCGGAUGCGGGGGCAGAGUCGGCCGAUGAGGAGAGGGGUCCUUCCGCCGAGGAGGCCGCGGCGACGGGUUCCGGGGACGCCCUACCCGACUCUAGGGCUGGCCGUGCUCCAGAGGCCGAUGUCAACGCUCCAGUCCCGAAUCCUGUGGCAGGCUCCGAGCCGCCCUUGGAACCCGCCGCCCUGACGUUCGAUCCCCAGGUGGGGUGCCUCGCCUACCCCGAAUGUCUCCGCUCCAUCCCCAGCUCAUGAGAUGGGCCCGGUGUCUAAGGACGACGCCGCCUCGUUGCUCACAGGCCCCGUGUCAAUAGCGGCGGGGCCAUUGACAACAGCCCUGCCGGUCUGGACUCCUUCGGCGACGGCGGCGUUCGCUACCGAUGCGGGCGCCCAGACUUCGAGAGCCGUGAGAGCGACGGCGGGGCCCGGUGCGUCCAUUAUAAGCAGCGAGGAGGUCCUCAACCAUUUCGCAGCUGAAGUAAUAGCGCAAGGAGGGAAGGGCGUGAGUUUUGAUCUCGCCAAGCGGAACUUCAGGCGUCGGGAGCUCGAUUUUGGGCGGCUUCGCAAAGUGGUGAUAGAUGUGGUCAUAGUGAUGCACGGCCUCUUGGGCCCGUCGAUCGUGGAGAUGGAGCUUCGGGACGAGGAGCGUCUAGCCCUGCGGGCGCGAGACCGAACACUCCUGGAGGCACGCCAGACCGUGGAAGAGGAAUUGGCCUCAACCUGCCAAGCCCUUGAGGACGAACGCGUGCCCAGGGUAGCGAAUCACGACGAGGCCAACUGGAUUCUGAAUUAGACGCUUGCCCGGUCCUCCUCCGUCGCCUCGGAGCUCUAGCAGCUUCGAAGGGACAGCAACGAGCUGCGCGUCGGGCUUGAGGUGGCGGAACAGGCGCGCGACUUGGCCAUCCAGGAGCGUGACGUCGCGAUCCAGGAGCGCGACGCGGUGACCCAAGGACACGACAUCGCACUAUCAACUGCGGAGGAGGCGUCGGAGCGGGAGAAGACCACGCUCUCGAGCUUGCAGAACGCCCGCAAUGAGUUCGAGGACCUACGCCAGGAGCUCGCCCGCAUCGACUGCCAGAGGAAAGAAGCAUAAGCGGCAGUGGCCUCGUUGACCGUCGAUGUUGCCAUCCACCGUGCCACAUAGCAGAGAUUUGAGGGAACCGUUGUGCGACUCCAGAAUGAGACAGUCGGUGUGUCAUUUUAUCGCGCAAUCCCCUUUUCGGCUUCCUCUUGGAGAAUUGCAAAAGUGAGUGAGUUAAGUUUCUUUAGCAGCCGCAAACUCCCUGUGCCGAGAAGCGGAGUUGAAAUUGUUGGAGAUGAAAGAGGCGCUUGAACUCCAAGUGACUGGCUCCGACAACCUUCGCCUCAUGGUGGGGCUCGUGUUGGACGAUCUCGGCGUAGAGGCCGCCGUCGCACCGGGUCAGCUUGUCAGCCAACACCUCGAGGGUGUGGAUGGACUGAAGCAGGAGGCCCAGGCCCACCGUCAAGAGGUCGAGGUCGUGCGCCGUGUACACUGGGGUGCAUCACGCCUUCGCCGUUGCGCGCAGCCAUUACGUCAACAUCGACCUGGAGGAGCUGAGUAAAGGGUACCUGGGGGACUAUGCUGACGCCGAGUUGUAUGCCUUCGAGGAGGAAACCGCCCCAUUCGCCCGGAACCUGACCGACAAGAUGCUGGAGGACAAUGAAGAUUAGUAGUUGGGUUAUCGGGGUUUGGUCCAUGUUUUGUUUUUUAUCGCAACUUUUGUCUUGCGGAUGCUUUGAACACUUUGCUUGGUGAUAAGUUCGGAAGGGUUUUCCGAUAAA
Molecule: long non-coding RNA, 2191 nt
Organism: Panicum virgatum (switchgrass)
Lineage: Eukaryota; Viridiplantae; Streptophyta; Magnoliopsida; Poales; Poaceae
Exons: 3
Source: RefSeq, a predicted model, not a curated record